UCAUAAAGCACAGAACUAACUAAAAGAAAAUACUUUAACAAGCAACAGCUAAAAAAGCAGAAAAGAAAAAUUAGAUGGCAAAAGCUUACUGCCUGAUGGUAGUAUUACUGCUUUCUCUCAUGGUAUCCUCCUGCACAUCAUUCUCAAAGACAACCAUUAUAAAUGGAGCAAGUCCGUGUGCCAAUGAUGCUGAUUGCAAAAACAUUCGGUGUCCCGGAGGCCCAGCUGCUCGUUGUUACAGCGGCUAUUGCCUCUGCAAGCCAAGGCUUCAAACUAGUGAAGGCAGCUUCGUAAAACUUUAUCAUUAUCAGCGUCAAUGCUGCAAAGAUGGUGAUUGCCAAACAGAUUGUAUCCCCGAAUGAAAAGCAAGAAAAAAAAAAAAAAAUCAUUGUUCGACAGGGUUAUGCAUUUGUCAGUGUUCUGCCUGACUAAAAGGUGUAUGUUUGCAUAAAUAAUAAGAAAUAAAAGCUUUUUAGGUUUCCUUAUA
Long non-coding RNA from Ricinus communis (castor bean), 487 nucleotides. RefSeq lists it as uncharacterized. NCBI's taxonomy places the organism in Eukaryota, Viridiplantae, Streptophyta, Magnoliopsida, Malpighiales, Euphorbiaceae. The transcript is spliced from 2 exons. The record is from RefSeq and is a predicted model, not a curated record.